AGGGUGUUGACGCAAUGUGAUUUCUGCCCAGUGCUCUGAAUGUCAACGUGAAGAAAUUCAAAAAAGCGCGGGUAAACGGCGGGAGUAACUAUGACUCUCUUAAGUAGCCAAAUGCCUCGUCAUCUAAUUAGUGACGCGCAUGAAUGGAUUAACGAGAUUCCCUCUGUCCCUAUCUACUUCCCGCAGGGAGGGCUCGCCUUUGCGAGCCUAUGGGGGCUGGCAAACCCACGUUCCCGCAGCCAGGGGGACCGUCGGGACAAGCGUCCCGUUACGUGAGUCCCUAUGUACACCGCAAGGAAGGUUGCCGGCGGAGAGAGGUGGCCACACUCUCUCCAAGGGGCCUUGGGUAGUAGCGCACCCACGAUCCUGAUGCCAAGGGUGGGACCGUCGGGGAAAGUUCAGGGUUUGAGGCGCCCU
This 417-nucleotide unclassified non-coding RNA is filed under the name Bombus terrestris (buff-tailed bumblebee). RNAcentral's name for it is "misc RNA ENSBTSG00005033301.1". The stretch from base 1 to 178 matches the Rfam family "Eukaryotic large subunit ribosomal RNA", at positions 2175 to 2353 of the family's 3401-position model. Lineage: Eukaryota; Metazoa; Arthropoda; Insecta; Hymenoptera; Apidae. The record is from RNAcentral.